RNAcentral lists this ribosomal RNA (492 nucleotides) under uncultured bacterium. RNAcentral's name for it is "partial 16S ribosomal RNA". It matches the Rfam family "Bacterial small subunit ribosomal RNA", at positions 29 to 507 of the family's 1533-position model. The record is from RNAcentral.
AGUGAACGCUGGCGGUAGGCCUAACACAUGCAAGUCGAACGGCAGCACAGUAAGAGCUUGCUCUUACGGGUGGCGAGUGGCGGACGGGUGAGGAAUACAUCGGAAUCUACUUUUUCGUGGGGGAUAACGUAGGGAAACUUACGCUAAUACCGCAUACGACCUACGGGUGAAAGCAGGGGAUCUUCGGACCUUGCGCGAUUGAAUGAGCCGAUGUCGGAUUAGCUAGUUGGCGGGGUAAAGGCCCACCAAGGCGGCGAUCGGUAGCUGGUCUGAGAGGAUGAUCGGCCACACUGGAACUGAGACACGGUCCAGAGUCCUACGGGAGGCAGCAGUGGGGAAUAUUGGACAAUGGGCGCAAGCCUGAUCCAGCCAUACCGCGUGGGUGAAGAAGGCCUUCGGGUUGUAAAGCCCUUUUGUUGGGAAAGAAAAGCAGCAGGUUAAUACCCCGCUGUUCUGACGGUACCCAAAGAAUAAGCACCGGCUAACUUCGUG